Molecule: ribosomal RNA, 1695 nt
Filed under: Aulographum sp. 1 LR-2019
Lineage: Eukaryota; Fungi; Ascomycota; Dothideomycetes; Aulographales; Aulographaceae
Description: SSU rRNA
Rfam family: Eukaryotic small subunit ribosomal RNA
Source: RNAcentral
UUUAUUUGAUAGUACCUUACUACAUGGAUAUCCGUGGUAAUUCUAGAGCUAAUACAUGCGAAAGGUCGCGCAAGCGGCUGUAUUUAUUAGAUAAAAAACCAACCCUUCGGGUCUUUGGUGAUUCAUGAUAACUCAACGAAUCGGAUGGUCUUGCACCGCCGAUGGUUCAUUCAAAUUUCUGCCCCAUCAACUUUCGAUGGUAGGAUAGUGGCCUACCAUGGUUUCAACGGGUAACGGGGAAUUAGGGUUCUACUCCCGGAGAGGGAGCCUGAGAAACGGCUACCACAUCCAAGGAAGGCAGCAGGCGCGCAAAUUACCCAAUCCCGACACGGGGAGGUAGUGACAAUAAAUACUGAUGCGGGGCUCUUUUGGGUCUUGCAAUUGGAAUGAGUACAAUCUAAAGCCCAUAACGAGGAACAAUUGGAGGGCAAGUCUGGUGCCAGCAGCCGCGGUAAUUCCAGCUCCAAAAGCGUAUAUUAAAGUUGUUGCAGUUAUAAAGCUCGUAGUUGUACCGUGGACUUGGCUGCUGGGAUGUCUCUAUGAGCGUGUACCAGUCGGCCGGGUCUUCCAUCUGGGGAUACUUGCGUCACUUUACUGGGACGGUUGGGUAACCAGACGAUUUUACUUUGAGAAAAUUAGAGUGUUCAAGGCAGGCGUUUGCUCGAAUACAUUAGCAUGGAAUAAUGGAACAGGACGUGCGUCCGUAUUCUGUUGGUUUCUACGGACGCCGUAAUGAUUAAUAGGAUCAGUCGGGGGCAUCUGUACUCAGUGGCUAGAGGUGAAAUUCUUGGAUCCAUUGGGGACAAACUAAUGCGAAAGCAUUUGUCAAGGAUGUUUUCAUUAAUCAGUGAACGAAAGUUGGGGGAUCGAAGACGAUCAGAUACCGUCCUAGUCUCAACCGUAAAUCAUGCCGACUUGGGAUCGGACGAACGUUGUACUAUACAGUGACUCGUCAGGCACCAUGUGGGAAACUAAAGUAUGUGGGUUCUGGGGGGAGUAUGGUCGCAAGGCUGAAACUUAAAGAAAUUGACGGAAGGGCACCACCAGGCGUGGAUCCUGCGGCUUAAUUUGACUCAACACGGGGAAACUCACCAGGUCCAGACAAACUGUAGGAUUGACAGACUAAUAGCUCUUUCUUGAUUAUUUGGGUGGUGGUGCAUGGCCGUUCUUAGUUCGUGGACUGAUCUGUCUGCUCAAUUGCGCCAACGAACGAGACCCUUUCUUGCUUAAUGGCGGGUCGACUUUUGUCGUCUGUCAGCCUCUUAGAAGAACUGCUUAGCGAUGUUUCUAUCAGAAGCUAGCGGUAGCUUUUGGCAAUAACAGGUCAGUGAUGCCCUUAGAUGUUCUGGGCCGCACGCGCGAUACAAUGAUGGGCUCACCGAGUUUACAACCUGCUUCGAGAGUUGUGGGUAAUCUCUGAAUGCCUGUCGUGCUGGGGAUUGAGCAUUGCAAUUAUCGCUCAUCAACGAGGAAUGUCUAGUAAGCGUAUGUCAUCAACAUGCGUUGAAUUUGUCCCUGCUCUUUGUACACACCGCCCGUCGUUAGAACCGAUCGAAUGGCUUAGUGAGGCUCUUGGACCGGUGCUCGAGGGUUGGCAACGACUCUUUUGCGCUGGAAAAUGAUCCAAACUUGGUCAUUUAGAGGAUCUACAAGUCGUAACAAGGUUUCCGUAGGUGAACCUGCGGAAGGAUCAUU